This 87-nucleotide non-coding RNA is filed under the name Pseudomonas tolaasii NCPPB 2192. Lineage: Bacteria; Pseudomonadati; Pseudomonadota; Gammaproteobacteria; Pseudomonadales; Pseudomonadaceae. The record is from RNAcentral.
GUGGGAGCUGGCUUGCCUGCGAUAGCAGUGUGUCAUUCAGCACAUCAGUGACUGAACCACCGCAAUCGCAGGCAAGCCAGCUCCCAC